CGGCUUACACAUGCAGUCGAGCGGAGAUGAGGUGCUUGCACCUUAUCUUAGCGGCGGACGGGUGAGUAAUGCUUAGGAAUCUGCCUAUUAGUGGGGGACAACAUUCCGAAAGGAAUGCUAAUACCGCAUACGUCCUACGGGAGAAAGCAGGGGAUCUUCGGACCUUGCGCUAAUAGAUGAGCCUAAGUCGGAUUAGCUAGUUGGUGGGGUAAAGGCCUACCAAGGCGACGAUCUGUAGCGGGUCUGAGAGGAUGAUCCGCCACACUGGGACUGAGACACGGCCCAGACUCCUACGGGAGGCAGCAGUGGGGAAUAUUGGACAAUGGGGGGAACCCUGAUCCAGCCAUGCCGCGUGUGUGAAGAAGGCCUUAUGGUUGUAAAGCACUUUAAGCGAGGAGGAGGCUACUAAGACUAAUACUCUUGGAUAGUGGACGUUACUCGCAGAAUAAGCACCGGCUAACUCUGUGCCAGCAGCCGCGGUAAUACAGAGGGUGCGAGCGUUAAUCGGAUUUACUGGGCAUAAAGCGUGCGUAGGCGGCUUUUUAAGUCGGAUGUGAAAUCCCCGAGCUUAACUUGGGAAUUGCAUUCGAUACUGGGAAGCUAGAGUAUGGGAGAGGAUGGUAGAAUUCCAGGUGUAGCGGUGAAAUGCGUAGAGAUCUGGAGGAAUACCGAUGGCGAAGGCAGCCAUCUGGCCUAAUACUGACGCUGAGGUACGAAAGCAUGGGGAGCAAACAGGAUUAGAUACCCUGGUAGUCCAUGCCGUAAACGAUGUCUACUAGCCGUUGGGGCCUUUGAGGCUUUAGUGGCGCAGCUAACGCGAUAAGUAGACCGCCUGGGGAGUACGGUCGCAAGACUAAAACUCAAAUGAAUUGACGGGGGCCCGCACAAGCGGUGGAGCAUGUGGUUUAAUUCGAUGCAACGCGAGAACCUUACCUGGCCUU
Molecule: ribosomal RNA, 941 nt
Filed under: uncultured bacterium
Lineage: Bacteria
Description: bacterial SSU rRNA
Rfam family: Bacterial small subunit ribosomal RNA
Source: RNAcentral